This 300-nucleotide ribosomal RNA is filed under the name uncultured Methanocella sp. RNAcentral's name for it is "bacterial SSU rRNA". The stretch from base 52 to 300 matches the Rfam family "Bacterial small subunit ribosomal RNA", at positions 547 to 795 of the family's 1533-position model. Lineage: Archaea; Methanobacteriati; Methanobacteriota; Methanomicrobia; Methanocellales; Methanocellaceae. The record is from RNAcentral.
UGUCACAUAGGUGGAACGGGAGGUGGAAGACGGAGCGUGGUAACGUGAAUUGGAAUGACUGCGCGCAAGGCGUGCUCGUGCGGUGAUGUAAGGCAGAUGUGGAACGCCCGGGCUCAACCUGGGAACUGCGUUUGAGACAGCAUAACUCGAGUACGGCAGAAGGGGGUGGAAUUCCACGUGUAGCAGUGAAAUGCGUAGAGAUGUGGAGGAACACCGAUGGCGAAGGCAGCCUCCUGGGCCAGUACUGACGCUCAUGCACGAAAGCGUGGGGAGCAAACAGGAUUAGAUACCCGGGUAGUC